Molecule: ribosomal RNA, 254 nt
Filed under: uncultured bacterium
Lineage: Bacteria
Description: partial 16S ribosomal RNA
Rfam family: Bacterial small subunit ribosomal RNA
Source: RNAcentral
UACGAAGGGGGCUAGCGUUGCUCGGAAUUACUGGGCGUAAAGCGCACGUAGGCGGCUCUUUAAGUCGGGGGUGAAAUCCUGGAGCUCAACUCCAGAACUGCCUUCGAUACUGAAGAGCUCGAGUCCGGGAGAGGUGAGUGGAACUGCGAGUGUAGAGGUGAAAUUCGUAGAUAUUCGCAAGAACACCAGUGGCGAAGGCGGCUCACUGGCCCGGUACUGACGCUGAGGUGCGAAAGGCGUGGGGAGCAAACAGG